CUUCAGCGACCCCAGCCAGACCGGCCGGUCUCGGUCCUGCCCGUAGGUGGACAGCAGGGCCUGGGCCUC
This 69-nucleotide antisense RNA is filed under the name Actinokineospora iranica. RNAcentral's name for it is "ASpks TB sRNA". It matches the Rfam family "ASpks TB sRNA". The record is from Rfam by way of RNAcentral. Lineage: Bacteria; Bacillati; Actinomycetota; Actinomycetes; Pseudonocardiales; Pseudonocardiaceae.